UACGUAGGGGGCAAGCGUUGUCCGGAAUCAUUGGGCGUAAAGAGCGCGUAGGCGGUCCGGUAAGUCCCGCUCUGAAAGUCCGGGGCUCAACCCCGGGAGGCGGGCGGAUACUGUCGGGCUAGAGUCCGGAAGAGGCGAGUGGAAUUCCUGGUGUAGCGUGAAAUGCGCAGAUAUCAGGAGGAACACCGGUGGCGAAGGCGGGUCUCUGGGCCGAUACUGACGCUGAGGCACGAAAGCGUGGGGAGCAAAGCAGG
This 254-nucleotide ribosomal RNA is filed under the name uncultured bacterium. Its description in RNAcentral is "partial 16S ribosomal RNA". It matches the Rfam family "Bacterial small subunit ribosomal RNA", at positions 524 to 777 of the family's 1533-position model. The record is from RNAcentral.